This 253-nucleotide ribosomal RNA is filed under the name uncultured bacterium. Its description in RNAcentral is "partial 16S ribosomal RNA". It matches the Rfam family "Bacterial small subunit ribosomal RNA", at positions 524 to 776 of the family's 1533-position model. The record is from RNAcentral.
UACGUAGGGUGCAAGCGUUGUCCGGAAUUAUUGGGCGUAAAGAGCUCGUAGGCGGUCUGUCGCGUCUGCUGUGAAAACUCAGGGCUUAACCCUGAGCUUGCAGUGGGUACGAGCAGACUAGAGUGCAGUAGGGGAGACUGGAAUUCCUGGUGUAGCGGUGAAAUGCGCAGAUAUCAGGAGGAACACCGGUGGCGAAGGCGGGUCUCUGGGCCGUAACUGACGCUGAGGAGCGAAAGCAUGGGGAGCGAACAGG